UCAGGACGAACGUUGGCGGCGUGCCUAACACAUGCAAGUUGAGCGUGGCCUUAGUUUACUAAGGUCUAGCAGCGGACGGCAGAGUAAUGAACAGGAACGUACCUCGAGGUGGGGGAUAGCCUUUCGAAAGAAAGGGUAAUACCGCAUGUGGUCGCAAGACCAAAGCUCCGGAAUAAAACCCGGGGCGCCACGAGAACGGCCUGUUUCCUAUCAGGUAGUUGGUGGGGUAAAAGCCUACCAAGCCUAUGACGGGUAGCUGGUCUGAGAGGAUGAUCAGCCUGAUCGGGACUGAGACACGGCCCGAACUCCUGCGGGAGGCAGCAGUUGGGAAUUUUGCACAAUGGACGAAAGUCUGAUGCAGCGACGCCGCGUGGAGGAUGAAGGUCUUCGGAUCGUAAACUCCUUUUACGAGGGAGUAAAUUAUGAAAGUACCUCGUGAAUAAGCACCGGCUAACUCCGUGCCAGCAGCCGCGGUAAUACGGAGGGUGCUAACGUUGUCCGGAAUUACUGGGCGUAAAGAGCAUGUAGGUGGCCAUGUAAGUCAAUGAUGAAAGACCGACGCUUAACGUCGGAUCCGUUCUUGAUACUGCAUGGCUCGAGGAUAGCAGGGGUAUGCGGAACUUUGAGUGUAGGAGUGAAAUCCGUAGAUAUUCAAAGGAACACCAAUGGCGAAGGCAGCAUACUGGGCUAUUUCUGACACUGAGAUGCGAAAGCGUGGGGAGCGAACGGGAUUAGAUACCCCGGUAGUCCACGCCGUAAACGUUGCUCACUAGGUCUUGGGAGGUAUCGACCCCUCUUUGGACCGAAGCUAACGCGUUAAGUGAGCCGCCUGGGGAGUACGAACGCAAGUUUAAAACUCAAAGGAAUUGACGGGGACCCGCACAAGUGGUGGAGCGUGUGGUUUAAUUCGAUACUAAGCGAAGAACCUUACCCAGGCUUGACAUCCCGAGAAAGUCCCUGAAAGGGGACCGUGCCGCAAGGAGCUCGGUGACAGGUGUUGCAUGGUUGUCGUCAGCUCGUGCUGUGAAGUGUCCCGUUAAGUCGGUUAACGAGCGCAACCCGCAUCCUGUGUUGAAUUUCUCACAGGAAACCGCCUCAGUUAAUGGGGAGGAAGGUGCGGAUGACGUCAAAUCAGCAUGGCCCUUACGCCUGGGGCUACACACGCGCUACAAUGGGUAGUAACAAUGGGUCGCGAAGCCGCGAGGCGGAGCUAAUCCUACCAAACCUACCCUCAGUUCGGAUUGGAGGCUGCAACUCGCCUCCAUGAAGCCGGAAUCACUAGUAACGGCCGGUCAGCCAUACGGCCGUGAAUACGUUCUCGGGUCUUGUACACACCGCCCGUCAAACCACGAAAGUCGGGAGCGCCCGAAGGACUGCGCAAGCGGUACUACGGUGAGUUCGAUGAUCAGGGUUAAGUCGUAACAAGGUA
RNAcentral lists this ribosomal RNA (1429 nucleotides) under metagenome. RNAcentral describes it as "bacterial SSU rRNA". It matches the Rfam family "Bacterial small subunit ribosomal RNA". The record is from RNAcentral.